RNAcentral lists this ribosomal RNA (1461 nucleotides) under uncultured bacterium. Its description in RNAcentral is "bacterial SSU rRNA". It matches the Rfam family "Bacterial small subunit ribosomal RNA". The record is from RNAcentral.
AGAGUUUGAUCCUGGCUCAGGAUGAACGCUGGCGGCGUGCCUAAUACAUGCAAGUCGAACGAGGUCGCAAGACCGAGUGGCGAACGGGUGAGUAACACGUAGGAAUCUGCCCAAGAGUAGGGAAUACCCAGCCGAAAGGUUGGCUAAUGCCCUAUAGUCCCGCAAGGGUAAAGCAGCAAUGCGCUUUUGGAGGAGCCUGCGUCCUAUCAGCUUGUUGGUGAGGUAAUGGCUUACCAAGGCUAUGACGGGUAGCUGGUCUGAGAGGACGACCAGCCACAAUGGGACUGAGACACGGCCCAUACACCUGCGGGUGGCAGCAGUAAGGAAUUGUACGCAAUGGGCGAAAGCCUGACGUCGCAACGCCGCGUGGAGGAAGAAGGCCUUCGGGUCGUAAACUUCUUUUAUCAGGGACGAUUAUGACUGUACCUGAGGAAUAAGGACCUGCUAACUACGUGCCAGCAGCCGCGGUAAUACGUAGGGUCCGAGCGUUAUCCGGUUUUAUUGGGCGUAAAGAGUGCGUAGGUGGUUCGGUAAGGCAGCGGUGAAAGACCCGGGCUCAACUCGGGGAACGCCACUGUUACUGCCCAACUUGACGAUAGCAGGGCCAAGCAGAAUUCUCGGUGUAGGGGUGAAUCCCGUUGAGAUCGAGAAGAAUACCAAUGGCGAAAGGCAGCUUGCUAGGCUAUAUGUGACAACUGAGGCACGAAAGCGUGGGGGAGCGAACGGGAUUAGAUUACCCCGGUAGUCCACGCCGUAAACGAUGCACACUAGCUAUCAGAAGCAUCGACCUUUUCUUGUAAGAGAAGCUAACGCGUUAAAGUGUGCCCGCCGUGGGGAGUACGGCCCGCAAGGCUAAAAACUCAAAAGGAAAUUGACGGGGGAUCGCACAAGCGGGGGGAGCGUUGUGGUUUAAUUUGGACGAUACCGGGAGACCCUUUACCCAGGGGUUUGACAUCUCUGGAAAGUCCUAGAAAAUAGGGCCCGUCCCCCGCAAGGAAACGAGAUGACCAGGUGUUGCACGGCUUGUCGUCAGCUCGUGGCGUGAGCUGUGUUCUUAAGUGAAGUAAACGAGGGGAACCCCCCUAUCAUCAGUUAGAUUUGUUUGAUGGAGACUGCCGGGCAUUUCGCUGGGAGGGAAGGUGGGGGACGACGUCAAGUCCGCCGGUGGCCCUUACACCCUGGGGCUACACACGCGCUACAAUGGCAUCGACAAUGGGUUGCUAAGCCGCGAGGCGGAGCUAAUCCCAUCAAAAGAUGCCCCAGUUCGGAUUGGAGGCUGCAACUCGCCUCCAUGAAGCCGGAAUCGCUAGUAAUCGUGGGUCAGCUAUACCACGGUGAAUACGUUCUCGAUCCUUGUACACACCGCCCGUCAAGUGAGCCGAGUUGGCAAUGCCCGAAUUCUGAUGUCUUAUUGGAACACGGUAGGGUCAGCAAGGAGCACUAAGUCGUAACAAGGUAACC